Molecule: long non-coding RNA, 1782 nt
Filed under: Lactuca sativa (garden lettuce)
Lineage: Eukaryota; Viridiplantae; Streptophyta; Magnoliopsida; Asterales; Asteraceae
Description: long non-coding RNA (LSAT_LNC008626)
Source: RNAcentral
UCACACUCAAGAAAUCAUCAAGAAAAUCUUACCUUUUAAUUAAAAAAAACAUUAAUAAAACCUCACCAUUUAUGUGGUACUUGAAAACUAAAUUAAGACCAUUUUAGCAAUGCUUCUACAACCUGCACCAAGAUGUGGCCGUUAAUUAUUUAUCGUGAAUAAAGUUGAAUUGUUUUAGGGAAGCCAUUGGCUCCGACUAUAGUUUUUAGUGUAUUUCCUAUAAUUCUUUUUGGUUUUAAACAAACCAUAUUUGCAUCAUAUGUCUAACUGUGUAAAAUUAGAAGAUUAAGAAAUACCCUUAAUAUAUUUGCAAUUUUCACUAUAAAUUUGGCAAAUAGUUGCGACUUAUAACAUGCAAUCUUAUCAAAUAAUGUCAUUUACACAAAUAGAGAAAAAUAGAAUGUAGCUUGCUAUAUGAUUUCUGGUUUAGAAUAUAGAUUUAGUUUAUUACCAUUCUAAGUCCACUAAUAUGUCAUUAAUGUAUCCAUGGCUAUAACACAAAACUUUUUGUACCAAUCUUGUUUACAAGCCAAAUCCUAUUCAGUACAGCCUGCAUAGANAAUGAAUGAUAGUGACUUUAAUUUUGACUUUAAAUUUUUUUGCAGAUUUAAUUGGAUUAGAUUAGAUUUUAUAGGUUAAUAACCAAAUUAAUGAUAUGCUUAUUUAAAGAGUUCUUAAAAAAACGGAUUUAAAUUUUGAAACCAAAAGCUAUAAAUAAGGGAGUUAAAUUAGAAACAAUAUUAAUUAUAGAAAUUGAUAUAUUCUAUAUAUAUAGAAUGAUAUAUUAUAAUUAAUAAUAUAAUUGUUGAAUUUAAAGAUUAUAUAAUUAAAUUUAAUUGUAUUUGAAUUCUAUUUAGAAAGACGAUGUCAUCAAUUUGAUCUAAUGGUGGAAAGCAUAUGAUUGAAAUAGAAUCAAGGGUCAUGAUUGCUUCAUUGGUGAUUAAGGGUUUUCUUUUAAUAAUAUUUAGAGCAAAAGUUUNUGUACCAAUCUUGUUUACAAGCCAAAUCCUAUUCAGUACAGCCUGCAUAGACCAUUAAAUCCCUUCAUAAUGAUUAAGUUUCAAUAUGUUCAUAAAAAUCAAAGUGACAAACUUGGCCCAACUUUUGGAACAUCACUCAUUUUGAUAAAUACCUACAGAUAUAGACAAAAUACCCAAAAAUACACACAUAUACAAACACUAAUGCAUUUAAAUACAUAGAAUUUUUCAUAGAAAAAUGCAUAGCAGCACCUAAAAAUACAUACCAAUACAUACAAAAACACAUAAAGUCCCUAAAAACAUACUUCAUCACUUAAACCUUGGAUCUUCAAGCCUUUCCUUCAGACCCAGACUAUUCAUCUGCAACUCAACUUAUUAAUCUGGGUCCCAGAAAAAUGACGGAAAUUGGCAUGUGUGUCACAAAUUUGGUGAAUCUUUGGUGUCUAGGGUUUUAGAAUAGCCGUGGGGACGAAGCAUAAGAUUAGACUCCAUUGCUUCGGUUGUGGCUAAGUAGUGGUGCAUGUAUAUGUGUUCGCAGAUCUGGUGAAGGAGGUGGAUGACGGAGAAGAUGGUAAGGUUGGUGGUGGAAGGUUUAACGCUGGAUGGUAGAUUCCGUGAUUGUUUUAUGCGUUCAUCUGGUAAUGUGGAUAAUGAUGUGUAAAGAGACAUAAGGAAGGGUAGAGCAAUGACACCUUUAAGCUUUAAUUCCUUUAAAAGGGGGCGCUGGAGAUGUGGUAUGACGAAGAACUAGAAUAAAUAGAGGGAGGCUGAGGUGUUGGCCGAAAGGGCAUCACCACUGGCAAGA